RNAcentral lists this ribosomal RNA (253 nucleotides) under uncultured bacterium. Its description in RNAcentral is "partial 16S ribosomal RNA". It matches the Rfam family "Bacterial small subunit ribosomal RNA", at positions 524 to 776 of the family's 1533-position model. The record is from RNAcentral.
UACAGAGGGGGCAAGCGUUGUUCGGAAUUACUGGGCGUAAAGGGCGCGUAGGCGGCCUGUUAAGUCGGACGUGAAAUCCCUCGGCUCAACCGGGGAACUGCGUCCGAUACUGGCGGGCUUGAAUUCGGGAGAGGGAUGUGGAAUUCCAGGUGUAGCGGUGAAAUGCGUAGAUAUCUGGAGGAACACCGGUGGCGAAGGCGGCAUUCUGGACCGACAUUGACGCUGAGGCGCGAAAGCCAGGGGAGCAAACGGG